This is a non-coding RNA of Rattus norvegicus (Norway rat), 9117 nucleotides long. NCBI's taxonomy places the organism in Eukaryota, Metazoa, Chordata, Mammalia, Rodentia, Muridae. The record is from RefSeq and is a predicted model, not a curated record.
CAACAAUCACGUUCACUGGGGGUUCAGUCUUGCAGGACCAAGGGCUUCCCCUUCCACUGGUGCUCUUACUAGGCUAUUCAUUGCUACCUAUGAGGUCAGAGUCCAGGGUCAGUCCAUGUAUAGUCUUUGGGUAGUGGCUUAGUCCCUGGAAGCUCUGGUUUGUUGGCAUUGUUGUUCAUAUGGGGUGUCGAGCCCCUUCGAGCUCUUUCAGUACUUUCUCUGAUUCCUUCAACAGGGGUCCCGUUCUCAGUUCAGUGGUUUGCUGCAGGCAUUCGCCUAUGUAUUUGCUGCAUUCUGGCUGUGUCUCUCAGGAGAGAUCUACGUUGGGUUCCUGUCAUCAUGCACUUCUUUGCUUCAGUCAUCUUAUCUAGUGGAUGUAUAUGUAUGGGCCACAUGUGGGACAGGCUCUGAAUGUUCCCCUUUUAAAGAAGGAGUGAAGCCUUCCCAUUUUGGUCAUCCUUCUUCAGUUUCAUGUGUUCUGUGCGUCUAGGGUAAUUCGAGCAUUUGGGCUAAUAGCCACUUAUCAAUGAGUGCAUACCAUGUGUGUUUUUCUGUGAUUGGGUUACCUCACUCAGGAUGAUAUUUCCGGUUCCAUCCAUUUGCCUAUGGAUUUCGUGAAGUCAUUAUUUUGGAUAGCUGAGGAGUAUUCCAUUGUGUAGAUGUACCACAUUUUCUGUAUCCAUUCCUCUAUUGAAGGGCAUCUAGGUUCUUUCCAGCUUGUGGCUAUUAUGAAUAAGCCUGCUAUGAACACAGUGGAGAAUGUGUCUUUGUUUUAUGUUUGAGCAUCUUUUGGGUAUAUGCCCAAGAGAGGUAUAGCUGAGUACUCAUGGAGUGCAAUGUCCAAUUUUCUGAGGAAGCUCCAGACUGAUUUCCACAAUGGUUGUACCAGUCUGCAAUCCCACCAACAAUUGAGUGUUCCUCUUUCUCCACAUCCUCGCCAGCAUCUUCUGUCACCUGAGUUUUUGAUCUUAGCCAUUAUGACUGGUGUGAGGUAGAAUCUCACGGUUGUUUUGAUUUGCAUUUCCCUUAUGACUAAAGAUGUUGAACAUUUCUUUAGGUGUUUCUCAGCCAUUCGGCAUUCCUAAGCUGUGAAUUCCUUGUUUAGCUCUGAACCCCAUUUUUUGAUAGGGUUAUUUGUCUCCCUGCAGUCUAACUUCUUGAGUUCUUUGUAUAUUUUGGAUAUAAGCCCUCUAUCAGUUGUAGGAUUGGUAAAGAUAUUUUCCCAAUCUGUUGGUUGCCUUUUUUCCUAACAACAGUGUCCUUUGCCUUACAGAAGCUUUGCAGUUUUAUGAGAUCCCAUUUGUUGAUUCUUGAUCUUAGAGCAUAAGCCAUUGGUGUUUUGUUCAGGAAAUGUUCUCCAGUGCCCAUGUGUUCGAAAUGCUUCCCCACUUUUUCUUCUAUUAGUUUGAGUGUAUCUGGUGGUCUUUGAUCCACUUGGACUUAAGGUUUGUACAGGGUGAUAAGCAUGGAUCGAUCUGCAUUCUUCUACAUGCUGACCUCCAGUUGAACCAGCACUCUCUGCUAAAAAUGGUAUCUUUUUUCCAUUGGGUGGUGUUAGAUCCUUUGUCAAAAAUCAAGUGCCCAUAGGUGUGUGGGUUCAUUUCUGGAUCUUCAAUUCUAUUCCACUGGUCGAUCUGUUUGUCUCUGUACCAAUACCAUGCAGUUUUUAUCACUAUUGCUCUGUAAUAUUGCUUGAGUUCAGGGAUAGUGAUUCCCCCUGAAGUCCUUUUAUUGUUGAGGAUAGUUUUAGCUAUCCUGGGUUUUUUGUUAUUCCAGAUGAAUUUGCAAAUUAUUCUGUCUAAAUCUAUGAAGAAUUGGGUUGGAAUUUUGGUGGGGAUUGCAUUGAAUUUGUAUAUCGCUUUUGGUAAAAUGGCCAUUUUUACUAUAUUAAUCCUGCCAAUCUGUGAGCAUGGGAGAUCUUUCCAUCUUCUGAGAUCUUCUUGAAUUUCUUUCUUCAGAGGCUUGUAGUUCUUAUCAUGCCGAUCUUUGACUUGCUUGGUUAAAGUCAUACCAAGUUAUUUUAUAUCAUUUGGGACUAUUAUGAAGGGUGUCGUUUCCCUAAUUUCUUUCUCGGCUAGUUUCUCUUUUGUGUAAAGGAAAGGUACUGAUUUAUUUGAGUUAAUUUUAUACCUAGCCACUUUGCUGAAGGUGUUUAUCCGGUUUAGUGGUUCUCUGGUGGAACUUUUGGGAUCACUUAAGUAUACGAUCUUUAUCGUCUGUAAAUAGUGAUAUUUUGACUUCUUCCUUUCCAAUCUGUAUCCUUUUGAUCUCCUUUUGUUGUCUGAUUGCUCUGUCUAGAAAUUUGAGAACUAUAUUGAAUAAGCAGGGAGAGAGGGGGCAGCCUUGUCUAGUCCCUGAUUUUAGUGGGAUUGCUUCAAGUUUCUCUCCAUUUAGUUUAAUGUUAGCGACUGGUUUUAGUAUGUUUAGGUAUGGGCCUUGAAUUCCUGUUCUUUCCAGGACUUUUAUCAUGAAGGGGUGUUGAAUUUUGUCAAAUGCUUUCUCAGCAUCUAAUGAAAUGAUCAUGUGGUUUUUAUCUUUCAAUUUGUUUAUAUAGUGGGUUAUGUUGAUGGUUUUCCGUAUAUUAAACCAUCCCUGCAUCCCUGGUAUGAAGCCUACUUGAUCAUGAUGGAUGAUUGUUUUGAUGUGCUCUUGGAUUCUCUUUGCCAGAAUUUUAUUGAGUAUAUUUGCAUUGAUUUUCAGAAGGGAAAUUGGACUGAAGUUCUCUUUCUGUGUUGGGUCUUUGUGUGGUUUAGGUAUAAGAGUAAUUGUUCCUUCAUAGAAGGAAUUCGGUAGCACUCUGUCUGUUUCAAUUUCAUGGAAUAGUUUGGAUACUAUUGGUAUGAGGUCUUCUAUGAAGGUCUGAUAGAAUUCUGCAGUGAACCCAUCUAGGCCUGGGCUCUUUUUGGUUGGGAGACUUUUAAUGACUGUUUCUAUUUUUUAUGAAUUAUGGAGUUGUUUAAGUGGUUUAUCUGUUCCUGAUUUAACUUCGGUACCUGGUAUCUGUCUAGGAAUUUGUCCAUUUCCUGCAGAUUUUCAAGUUUUGUUGAAUAUAGGCUUUUGUAGUAGGAUCUGAUGAUUUUUUGAAUUUCCUCUGAUUCUGUAGUUAUGUCUCCAUUUUCAUUUCUGAUUUUGUUACUUUGGACACACUCUCUGUGUCCUCUCAUUAGUCUAGCUAAGGGGUUUACCUAUCUUGUUGAUUUUCUCAAAGAAGCAGCUUUUGAUUCUGAUGAUUCUUUGUAUAGUCAUAUUUGUUUCUACUUGGUUGAUUUCAGCUCUGAGUUUGAUUAUUUCCUGCCUUCUACUCCUCCUGGGUGAGUUUGCUUCUUUUUGUUCUAGAGAGUUUAGAUGUCCUGUCAAGCUGCUGAUAUAUGCUUUCUCCUGUUUCUUUCUGCAAGCACUCAUAGCUAUGAGUUUUCCUCUUAGCACAGCUUUUAUUGUGUCCCAUAAGUUUGGGUAUGUUGUACCUUUGUUUUGAAUUAAUUCUAAGAAAGUCUUUAAUUUCUUUAUUUUUUCCUUGACCAGGUUAUCAUUGAGUAGAGCACUUUUCAACUUCCAUGUAUAUGUGGGAAUUCUUUCCUUACUGUUAUUGAAGACCAGCUUUAGCCCGUGGUGGUCUGAUAGGAUGCAUGGGAUUCUUUCUUUCUUUCUGUAUCCGUUGAGGACUGUUUUAUGACCGAUUAUAUGGUCAAUUUUGGAGAAAGUACCAUGAGGUGGUGAGAAGGAGGUAUCUCCUUUUGUUUUAGGAUAGAAUGUUCUUUAAAUAUCUGUUAAGUCCAUUUAGUUCAUGACUUCUCUUAGUCUGUCUAUGUCUCUGUUUAAUUUCUGUUUCCAUGAUCUGUCCAUUGAUGAGAGUGGAGUGUUGAAAUCUCCUACUAUUAUUGUGUGAGGUGCAGUGUGUGCUUUGAGCAUUAGUAAGGUUUCUUUCAUGUAUGUAGGAGCCCUUUUAUUGGAGCAUAGAUAUUUAGGAUUGAGAGUUCAUCUUGGUGGACUUUUCCUUUGAUGACAAUGAAGUGUCCUUUUUUGUCUUUUUUGAUGACUUUUGGUUGAAAUCUAUUUUAUUUGAUAUUAGAAUAUCAGCUUGUUUGUCCAGACCAUUUGCUUCGAAAGUUGUUUUCCAGCCUUUUACUGUGAGUUAGUGUCUGUCUUUGUCCCUGAGGUGUGUUUCCUGUAGGCAGCAAAAUGUUGGUUCCUCAUUGUGUAUCCAGUUUUUUUUAUCUGUGUCUUUUUAUUGGGGAAUUGAGUCCAACGAUGUUGAGAAAUAUUAAGUAAUAGUGAUUGUUGUUUCCUUUUAUAUUCAUGUUUGGGUGUGAGAUUAUGUUUGUGAUUUUGUUCCCUUUGUUUUGUUGCAAAACGAUUAGUUUCUUGCUUUGUUUAGGGUGUAGCAUGCUUCUGUGUGUUGGGCUUUACCAUUUAUUAUCCGUUGUAGAGCUGAAUUUGUAGAAAGAUAUUGUAUAAAUUUGGUUUUUUCAUGGAAUAUCUUGGUUUCUCCAUUUAUGUUAAUUGAGAGUUUUGCUGGACACAGUAACUUGGGCCGGCAUUUGUAUUCUCUUAGGGUCUGUAUGACAUCUGUCCAGGAUCUUCUGGCUUUCCUAGUCUCUGGUGAGAAGUCUGGUGUAAUUCUGAUAAGUCUGCUUUUAUAUGUUACUUGACCUUUUUCCCUUAGUGCUUUUAAUAUUUUUUCUUUGUUUUGUGCAUUUGAUGUUUUGAGUAUUAUGUGACAGGAGGAGUUUCUUUUCUGGUCCAAUCUAUUUGGAGUUCUUGUAGGUUUCUUGUAGGUUUAUGGGUGUCUCUUUCUUUAGGCUAGGGAAGUUUUCUUCUAUGAUUUUGUUGAAGAUAUUUACUGGUCCUUUGAGUUGGGAGUCUUCACUCUCUUCUAUACCUAUUAUCCUUAGGUUUGAUCUUCUCAUUGUGUCCUGGGCUUCCUGAAUGUUUUGGGCCAGUAUCUUUUUCCAUUUUACAUUAUCUUUGACAGUUGUGUCGAUGAUUUCUAUGGAAUCUUCUGCUCCUGAGAUUCUCCUUUCUAUCUCUUGCAUUCUGUUGGUGAUGCCUGUCUCUAUGGCUCCUUGUCUCUUCCUUUGGUUUUCUAUAUCCAGGGUUGUCUCCGUUCGUGCUUUCUUUGUUGCUUUUUUUUUUCCAUUUUUAAUUCCUUCACCUGUUUGAUUUUGUUUCCAUAUAAUUCUUUCAGGGAUUUUUGUGAUUCCUCUCUAUAGGCUUCUGCUUGUUUAUUUGUGUUUUCCUCUAUUUCUCUAAGGGAGUUCUUUAUGUCUUUCUUGAAGUCCUCCAUCAUCAUGAUCAAAUGUGAUUUUAAAUCUAGUUCUUGCUUUUCUGGUGUGUUUGGAUAUUCAGUGUUUGCUUUGGUGGGAGAAUUGUGCUCUGAUGAUGGCACGUAGUCUUGGUUUCUGUUACUUGGGUUCCUGCGCUUGCCUCUUGCCAUCAGGUUGUCUCUGGUGUUACCUUGUUCUGCUAUUUCUGACAGUGGCUAGACUCUCCUAUAUGCCUGUGUGUCAGGAGUGCUGUAGACCUGUUUUCCUGUUCUUUUUCAGCCAGUUAUGGGAACAAAGUAUUCUGUUUUCAGGCAUGUAGUCGUUCCUGUCUACUGGUCUUCAGGUGUUCCUGUGGGCUUGUGUACUGAGUCCACCAGGAAGGUCACUUGGAGCAGAAAAGUUGGUCUUGCCUCUUAUCUCGGGUCUGGAGUUGCUUCUCAGAUCAGGGUUUCAGCUCUCUGUGAGGGAAGCAACCAGAAGGGCCUGCUCUGCCUUAGCUCGGGUCCCUGUGCACAGGGGGCCCAGAUGGCACUAGGGGUUUCCUUCUAGCAUCAGAAAUGUGGGCAGAGAGUAGUCACCUCUGGCUUCCCUGGCAUGUCUGCCCCUUUGAAGGUCUAACUCUCCGUCCCACGGGAUUGGGUGCAGAUAGCUGUUUGACUGGAUCCCUUCAGAUCCAGGAGGUGUCUGGAUGGCAGCAAUGAGUGCCCCUAUCUUCCUGUUCCCAGAGGCCCUAUAAGGUUUCCUAUUGUGCCAGGGACAUGGGUAGGGGUAGCCAGUACUAGAGGUCUCUCCUGCCCUGCAGUCUCAGGAGUGCCCACCUGUCUGGGCUGUGAGCUCUCUCUCCCUUUGGUUUGGGAGCAGGGAGCUGUGGGCCUGGAUCAGUGAGGUUCGGUCCCCAGCUAGAAACUGGAAGUGCCUGGUCACAGAGGAAUUUUGCCUUUGUGAGUCCUGAGUCCAUCAGGCAGGUCACUUGGAGCAGAAAAGUUGGUUUUACCUCUGGUCUUGGGCCUUGAGUCAUUUCUCAGAUCCGGGUGUCAGCUCUCUGUGAGGGCAGCAACCAGAAGGGUCUGCCCACCUUCGGAGGAAAUUUAAGGUAAAGAAGUUUGGGGUGGUAGUGCAUAACUGCAACUCUGGCACUUGAGGCAGAAGAGUCAGGAGUUCAAGUCUAGCUGUACCUUCAUAACAUUGGAGGCACAUCUGUCACAAUCAGACCGGCAACAAAAACAGAUAAAAAGGAAAAAAAUGGUUAUUUCACUGCUAGUUAACAAUGUGAUACUGUCACUAAAUAUUAUACAUAAUAUACACAUCUUCCUAACAGGAAUUUAAACUGUAUUUUAAAAUCCAACUUUCCUUUUUUUUUUAAAAAAAUUAUUGCAUAUAUUUCUAUCUUUUUACCUUUUUUAACCCACAAAAAUCCAACAUUCUUAUCUUUAAACCUAUCUUUUAGAACGAGGAGGUCUAUUUCUCCAAGAACAUUUAUAGUUACUGUGCUCCAUAAACACUCCACUGUGCUACUUACUGUAUUUGUUUAGUUAAGCUCAGGUCUAGCAGCUGUUGGGGGUGGGGGAGUGUCAAUGUCUGAAGAGCAAGUGGCAUGCUCCUGUGUGUGAAAAAUCACUGAGAGAUUCAAACAUUCUCAAAAUGAAGGCUGUUGUGAAGUUGUAAGUCUGUAACCUGCCUCUCAAAUCUUUGGGAUUUUAAAUUAUUUGCAUAUUUCACAGUAUUUUAUAAUGUUUUGAGACUGUGCAUUACCUAAACACUGAAAAUCAGCUGCCAGAGAGUUGGCUGUUAUCACUUAUUUUUAGUCAGAAAGCUGUGCUUGUUCAUAUAGUUGUUUUCCCAGCUGAAAUAACAUAGCAGAUUGGUGAUGUUUGAACACUGUUAAUUAAUGAAUGCUCCUAACCUAGUAAAUAGGUCUGCCUAACUGGAGGCCAAACAUAACCUCAACAAAACAGACCAUGUUUGAUAAGAUAAACACUCUACUAACCUUAAAUCUUCCCUCUAGAUAAUUUUUCAGUGAUAUGAAAUAUUAACCUAAAAGUGUUGUAUUUUCCAUUUAGGUUUGGAAAAUCUGUUUGGUAUAUGAAGAAAGAAAGUGUCAAUGUAUGAGCAGUAGACCAAUGUGGAAUUCUUCAAAGUCUUGCCUCAAUACUUCAUCCUGAUUUCUGAACUCAUAGAUGUUUGUCAUAUCCAGCUGCCUUUAUAAAGAGAAGCGUGUUGUUCUGUCUCAGUGUCAUAGAUAGUAGGGAAGAAGGAUAGAAGAGCAGUAUGGAUGGAAGUGAUCCACUGGGUCCUUAUGACAGUGAAUGAAGACACCAUUGGAGGAGAGAAAAUGUACAAAACUUGCAGAUAGACCAGACCUUAUUGGAUUUGUUAUGAUAUUCUGAUAAUUUCUGAAAUGCAAAAUAAGCCUUCUUUAGAAAGAGGCAGAAGGACAGACACACAGACACAUACAGAGAGACAGAGACAAACAGAGACAGACAGAGAGACGGACUCGGGUGAGGGGAAGAGCAGAGGAAGAGAAGUCCUUUAUUUUCAAGGUUAGCCCAUUAGUUACUUGUGUUUUUAAAAACUAAGCAAUAUUUUACAUUUAAACAUAUUCUUUUUUAAGUGGCCUUUAUUUGAGAAAGCGUGUAUUUUUUUUUAACUAUUUGUUUAAUUUUACUUUAUGUUCUAUGGUGUUUUGCCUACAUGUAUGGCAUGUCUGUGUGAUGAUGUACGGUCCCUGGAACAGGAGUUACAAAUAGUUGUGAGCUGCCAUAUGGGUGCUAUGAUUUGAACCCAGGUCCUUUGAAAGAGCAGCUAGUGCUCUUAACCACUGCACCAUCUCUCCAGUAACUAAACACUCAAGUACUCAAUGUACUCAAGUUUCCUUUUUAUGCUUUUUUUUAUUCUAAAUAAGUACUUGUUGUGGUUUGCCCUGGAGUUAUCUGUAUUCUGAUGCUAUUUCCACUGCUUUGGGUAAAGCUUCUAGAGCUUUUGUCACUGGUGAUUUUAGAUUCUCAUAACUUCUCAAAAGACAAAGAUGACUGUUGUAUGCUCUUUCAUAAGUGGCCUGUAAAUAUCACUUCCUCCAAGUUCAAAGAACAUUACAGAGGAAAAGAAGGAAUGAAUAAAGACAGAAAGAAUAUAAAAGCAAAGGAAAGUUGUAGGAAAAGACUUGAAAUACUGACUUGUAUACAUUUCAUAACUGUUAAAAAGUUGUGGUUUGCCCUGAAGUUAUCUGUAUUUUGAUGCUAAUUCCACUGCCCCAAGGACAGCUGCCUAGUCACUACUCAGGAAUCAGGUGACUUCACCAGAACCACCUCCCCAUUGAAUUUGUAAAGUACAGGUGAGGGGCAGGUACAGAAUAGAAGGAGGCCUGUCAUUGGAGGAGAAGGAAGGAUGGGCGGGAGAGAAGUUUGAAGGAGGAGGAGGAGACUAGAGAGAGAGGAAGAGACAGGACACAGAAGAGAGAGUGGGGAGAAGCCAUGGCAGGUGAUGUUAAGAUUCUGCUCUGUGUAUUUACAGGUUGUUAUUAAUGUUCUCAAGGGAUGGAUGGUACUGGGCUUUGUAUGUUUAAGUGGGCAAUUAUAUCUUAUCAAUUGGGUCAAAGAUUAUUGUGUUGUGUGUUCUUUUAUGUGAGGGUUUGAGUGUAGGAAAGUGUGUGGCUGGGAUGUGUUUCUGCCAAGAUAUCUAGCAGAUAUCUUGGGGCACCGUGGUGCGGACCAAGCAGGGUAAAAGACAACCGUACUCUUUUAUUUUUAUACUUUUACAACAGUUAAACUCUUACAUUCACAGGUUUACUUGCACAUGAUCUCCUAAGAUUGGUCCCAACAAAAUCUUGACAUGGAGGUUUCAUGUCUAGAUAAAG